Molecule: ribosomal RNA, 446 nt
Filed under: uncultured bacterium
Lineage: Bacteria
Description: partial 16S ribosomal RNA
Rfam family: Bacterial small subunit ribosomal RNA
Source: RNAcentral
CCUACGGGUGGCAGCAGUCGAGAAUCAUUCACAAUGGUGGAAACCCUGAUGGUGCGACGCCGCGUGGGGGAAUGAAGGUCUUCGGAUUGUAAACCUCUGUCAUGUGGGAGCAAAUUAAAAAGAUAGUACCACAAUGGGAGGAGCCGGCUAACUCGGUGCGGCCAACUGCGGUAAAACAGCGGUAUGAAGCGUUGUUCGGAAUCACUGGGCGUAAAGCGUGCGUAGGCGGUUUCGUAAGGCGUGUGUGAAAGGCGCGGGCUCAACCCGCGGACGGCACAUGAUACUGGGAGUCUAGAGUAAUGGAGAGGGAAGCGGAAUUCGCGGUGUAGCAGUGAAAUGCGUAGAUAUCGCGAAGAACACUGGUGGCGAAGGCAGGUUCCUGGACAUUAACUGACGCUGAGGCACGAAGGCGAGGGGAGCGAAAGGGAUUAGAUACCCGUGUAGUC